Molecule: ribosomal RNA, 253 nt
Filed under: uncultured prokaryote
Description: partial 16S ribosomal RNA
Rfam family: Bacterial small subunit ribosomal RNA
Source: RNAcentral
ACGAAGGGGGCUAGCGUUGUUCGGAAUUACUGGGCGUAAAGCGCACGCAGGCGGUCCAAAUAGUCAGGAGUGAAAGCCCUGGGCUCAACCCGGGAAUUGCUCUUGAUACUGGUGGACUAGAAUCAUGGAGAGGGUAGGGGAAUUCCGAGUGUAGAGGUGAAAUUCGUAGAUAUUCGGAAGAACACCAGUGGCGAAGGCGCCUACCUGGCCAUCGAUUGACGCUCAUGUGCGAAAGCGUGGGGAGCAAACAGGA